AGGAUUAUAGUUUAAUGAAAACAUUUAAUUUGCUUUUAAAAAAUAUUAAAAUAUAAAUUAAUCUUA
This 66-nucleotide transfer RNA is filed under the name Anisocentropus maculatus. RNAcentral describes it as "tRNA-Ala". The record is from RNAcentral. Lineage: Eukaryota; Metazoa; Arthropoda; Insecta; Trichoptera; Calamoceratidae.